This is a long non-coding RNA of Macaca fascicularis (crab-eating macaque), 1486 nucleotides long. The record is from Ensembl. Lineage: Eukaryota; Metazoa; Chordata; Mammalia; Primates; Cercopithecidae.
AGGACCGUGGACAGCAACAUUUCCCACCGGACACGAAGUUUGUCGGCCCUUGCCUUGGCAGAGCUGAGCAGGCAUUUUGGAGAUCAAAGAUGGGUAGAAAAGAUGCUUCUACUAUAAAACUUCCUGUUGAUCAGUACAGAAAACAAAUUGGUAAACAGGAUUAUAAAAAAACUAAACCUAUUUUACGAGCAACCAAAUUAAAAGCAGAAGCAAAGAAAACAGCAAUAGGCAUAAAGGAAGUUGGCCUUGUACUUGCAGCUAUAUUGGCGCUACUACUGGCUUUCUAUGCUUUCUUUUAUCUCAGACUCACCACAGAUGUUGACCCUGAUCUGGACCAAGAUGAAGAUUAGCUAAGCAGCAAUCAAUGCAUGAAAGAGAAAUAACUUUAUGAAAGCACCCUUUGGGACCAAAACUUUCAAUACUGAACCUGUAACAUCUUUAAUUCUUUCUGCUAAUAUUUUCAGUUUGCAGACAUAUGAUUUUAAAUAGUUGCAUAGGAUAUCAAGAAAAGAACCUUACCUAGCAAUGCAGUAUAAUAUGUGCUACUAGAUACUUUUAUAUAUCUUUCUACUUUGACAGCCACCCUAUACAUGAUACAUUUAGAUGAAAUGGAAACCAGAUCCUAAAUGUUUCAAAUGUCAUUGCCAAUUUAUGUAUAUAAUUCCAUCACUUCCAGAUUACUAAGUCUGUUUUUGUUCUAUAUACAUCAUAAUUUAGUAUAUAUUCUUAUUUACAGAAACAUACUCAAAUCACAUUCAGAAAGAACAAAAAGUCAUGGGAAAUUUUUUAUUUUCCGACAAAGCCCUGCUCUCUUUCUGGAAGUAUUUUAUAUCAUUAGAGAGACUAUCUGCACAUACAUCUACAGUAAUCUUUUUCCUUCUUUGCCAACUGUUCAUUGCACAUGUGCUCCAUCAGAAAUGGCACCUGGAUGACAGAAGCUCAAAGAGUCACAUAUGUCUCUAAAAUAGAGUUCUUUUCCUCUUGGGCUGUCUGAACUGGUGUAAAUAGAAAGUUCAGUUGAUCUUGGUUUUAAUUAACUUAUUACUCUAUUAAUAUAACCUUGGAAUUCUAUUUUAAUUAUGUUGUUCUGGCUGCUUGUAGUAUCAGUUUGCCCCUCUUGUUAAGGAGAUAUGUAACAAUCUGUCAUUUAAUUGUGCCGUCUUUUUCACAUAACAGUAAAAGCAAAAAUCCUACCUACUCAGAAUCAUCUUCUUAGGUUGUCUCCUAAAUCUGAACAAUACAGUGGUUUUAUAAAAUUACAUUUUGUCUCUUGAGAGUUAAUCAAUUAGAACUCUUUAGGGAGAAAAUAAAUAAUAGAAGAAAAUAUAUGCCUCAUAUUACUUUCAUAUGUAAUUAUCUGUUUAUAUAAUUUUUCAAUGUAUUUUGCAUUUGUGGGAGCAUAAUGACCUGUGCAUUCAAUAUUUUUACUGGUAAUUCAAUUUUUAAAUAUGUUUUUACAACAUGUGAACACAUAAAGUGUAGAAAA